This 517-nucleotide ribosomal RNA is filed under the name uncultured microorganism. Its description in RNAcentral is "bacterial SSU rRNA". It matches the Rfam family "Bacterial small subunit ribosomal RNA", at positions 9 to 520 of the family's 1533-position model. The record is from RNAcentral.
GAGUUUGAUCCUGGCUCAGAUUGAACGCUGGCGGCAGGCCUAACACAUGCAAGUCGAGCGGAUGAAGGGAGCAUGCUCCUGGAUUCAGCGGCGGACGGGUGAGUAAUGCCUAGGAAUCUGCCUGGUAGUGGGGGGAUAACGUCCGGAAACGGGCGCUAAUACCGCAUACGUCCUGAGGGAGAAAGUGGGGGAUCUUCGGACCUCACGCUAUCAGACGAGCCUAGGUCGGAUUAGCUAGUUGGUGGGGUAAAGGCCUACCAAGGCGACGAUCCGUAACUGGUCUGAGAGGAUGAUCAGUCACACUGGAACUGAGACACGGUCCAGACUCCUACGGGAGGCAGCAGUGGGGAAUAUUGGACAAUGGCGAAAGCCUGAUCCAGCCAUGCCGCGUGUGUGAGAAGGUCUUCGGAUUGUAGAGCACUUUAAGUUGGGAGGAAGGGCAGUAAGUUAAUACCUUGCUGUUUUGACGUUACCAACAGAAUAAGCACCGGCUAACUUCGUGCCAGCAGCCGACCGG